UCCCUAAAAUGAAAAAAGUUACUGAUAUUGGACCAGCGUAUGGAGAUAUCGAACAGAACCUUGCCUUCGACCGGUACUCACGCACAACCAUGAACUUGAAUCCCCCUCCACCCAUUUGAAUUUCAUCAUUUGAAACUCAAUUUGAAAUCAAAAGAAAGAAGCAGAAGUAUAUAUUUUUCGUAUUUUUUCGUUGUAAAUAGGAACCGAAUUCAAAAAAGCACUGGAAAUUCAAUCCAGUUUCAUCACCUUUAUUCGUUCCUUUCUAGGAGUUAGGGAAUUGAAGAUUGAAAAUUUUUGGUCUAUCUUCCUUUCAAGAAUGGCUGCUGUUUGUGCUUUAGAGUUGUAGGUCUAGGUUUUUUU
RNAcentral lists this long non-coding RNA (360 nucleotides) under Nicotiana benthamiana. Its description in RNAcentral is "long non-coding RNA (NBEN_LNC041924)". The record is from RNAcentral. Lineage: Eukaryota; Viridiplantae; Streptophyta; Magnoliopsida; Solanales; Solanaceae.